UACGUAGGGCGCAAGCGUUGUCCGGAAUUAUUGGGCGUAAAGAGCUCGUAGGCGGCUCGUCGCGUCGGAAGUGAAAGCCCGUGGCUUAACUGCGGGUCUGCUUUCGAUACGGGCGGGCUAGAGGCAGGUAGGGGAGAACGGAAUUCCCGGUGUAGCGGUGAAAUGCGCAGAUAUCGGGAGGAACACCGGUGGCGAAGGCGGUUCUCUGGGCCUGUACUGACGCUGAGGAGCGAAAGCGUGGGGAGCGAACAGG
This 253-nucleotide ribosomal RNA is filed under the name uncultured Actinocorallia sp. RNAcentral's name for it is "partial 16S ribosomal RNA". It matches the Rfam family "Bacterial small subunit ribosomal RNA", at positions 524 to 776 of the family's 1533-position model. The record is from RNAcentral. Lineage: Bacteria; Bacillati; Actinomycetota; Actinomycetes; Streptosporangiales; Thermomonosporaceae.